Pieris rapae (cabbage white) is the source of this 151-nucleotide long non-coding RNA. RefSeq lists it as uncharacterized. The record is from RefSeq and is a predicted model, not a curated record. NCBI's taxonomy places the organism in Eukaryota, Metazoa, Arthropoda, Insecta, Lepidoptera, Pieridae. The transcript is spliced from 2 exons.
AAGGCCCCCGAGACCCUAUCUAGGGGUCUGAAUAAGCAAAUUCAAGCAAAAAUUACUCCAAAUCUCACGGAGGUUUUCGAAUCAAGGUCCCCCGAGACUCCUACACACUCAGUUUAAUCACAAUCAAGGUAUUGAAUAUAAGAUCCAACCC